Loxodonta africana (African savanna elephant) is the source of this 247-nucleotide long non-coding RNA. RefSeq lists it as uncharacterized. The transcript is spliced from 3 exons. Lineage: Eukaryota; Metazoa; Chordata; Mammalia; Proboscidea; Elephantidae. The record is from RefSeq and is a predicted model, not a curated record.
ACGCAUGGUGUCUGACCCUUGGCUGUGAGGGAUGGCCCGUGACACUUACCCUCAGGUUCAGCUGGAUGACACUACUGUUGAUGGCAAGAGACAGAAGGUCAAACUCCAGGUGGUUGAAGGAUCUUGGCCCCACCCGCUCUUCCAGGAGCUCUCCCGCCCAGUCCCAGGAUUGCAGAGGAGCCAGGAAGCCCUGGGUUCGAGCCCCAGUGAUCUCGUAGGUGCUUGUGAAGCUGUAGUUGUGAAUUCC